RNAcentral lists this ribosomal RNA (458 nucleotides) under uncultured bacterium. Its description in RNAcentral is "partial 16S ribosomal RNA". It matches the Rfam family "Bacterial small subunit ribosomal RNA", at positions 338 to 795 of the family's 1533-position model. The record is from RNAcentral.
CCUACGGGUGGCAGCAGUGAGGAAUAUUGGUCAAUGGGCGAGAGCCUGAACCAGCCAAGUCGCGUGAGGGAGUACUGCCCUAUGGGUUGUAAACCUCUUUUGUCGGGGAGCAAAAGCCGGACGUGUCCGGCUGUGAGAGUACCCGAAGAAAAAGCAUCGGCUAACGCCGUGCCAGCAGCCGCGGUAAUACGGAGGAUGCGAGCGUUAUCCGGAUUUAUUGGGUUUAAAGGGUGCGCAGGCGGAGUUUUAAGUCAGCGGUAAAAUCGUGGGGCUCAACCCCAUCCAGCCGUUGAAACUGGGGAUCUAGAGUGUGCGAGAGGUAUGCGGAAUGCGUGGUGUAGCGGUGAAAUGCAUAGAUAUCACGCAGAACCCCGAUUGCGAAGGCAGCAUACCGGUGCACAACUGACGCUCAGGCACGAAAGCGUGGGUAUCGAACAGGAUUAGAUACCCUUGUAGUC